Long non-coding RNA from Solanum lycopersicum (tomato), 852 nucleotides. RefSeq lists it as uncharacterized. The record is from RefSeq and is a predicted model, not a curated record. NCBI's taxonomy places the organism in Eukaryota, Viridiplantae, Streptophyta, Magnoliopsida, Solanales, Solanaceae.
UAGAUGAAUAUUAGACUAAUACUACCUUAUAUUACCAAUAUAAAUAACCUCUUUUUAAUUAAGUAAAUACUUUUAGUUAUUUUGAUCUCAUGGGGUCCUAAUUUCUUGAGAGGAUAUGAUGACUAUAUAAAUAGGAGUAUUCUCACAAUGACAUGUAAAACUUUCAUUCACAAAAUAUGGUCACAUUUUGCUUCCAAUUAAUAGUAUUUUCAAUAAUAGCAAAUCUCAUAUUUGUUAUAGCAGCUAGAAAUUAUCCAACUAACAUGUCUCCAUCAUUGCCCUUACCACCAAAUGUCAUCUUCAUCUAUUAUCCGAUACACCAUCUCUGUCAUCAUUACCAUCGUGUUCGUAAGUUACUCCUCCUAACAUCACCUUCAUACGUGCUCCAAUCUUCACAUUUGCAACCAUUGAUUCAACAAGUACCUUCUUGUGAUUUGGAUAUUUCUUUGUUGCAAUACUUGAUGACAGGCCCCUUCACAUGCAGCCCGAUUCUUUUCCAGUGGCCAACCAGGACCUUGAAGUGUGUGACUAUCUCAUCUAAAAGUUUAAACUAUUAGACAGAGAAAACUUUUAUUUAUAAAAUUAUGUUUUUAAACAGUAAUGCUAACCAGAUCUUAAGCAGUAAAUAAUGACACAACAACGAAAUUUAUACAUGAGAAAUCUUGUCAAAAUAUUUUGAAAACGAUAAUGUGUUAUAAACACUUGUAUUAUAGUGAAUGUCUAUUAUGUGGAGCUCUUUGGAGAAAAGUUAGAAAUCCUACUUGUGACCAAGUCAGGUUUCCCCUAUAAAUAAAGGGAUUUCCUUAAAUUCAUCCCUUCAGGAGAAAUAAUAAGUCUGCUCUCUUCUCCCUA